Molecule: unclassified non-coding RNA, 416 nt
Filed under: soil metagenome
Description: partial contains 5.8S ribosomal RNA, internal transcribed spacer 2, and large subunit ribosomal RNA
Rfam family: 5.8S ribosomal RNA (bases 1-120)
Source: RNAcentral
GAUGAAGAACGUAGCGAAAUGCGAUAAGUAAUGUGAAUUGCAUAAUUCAGUGAAUCAUCGAAUCUUUGAACGCACCUUGCACUCCUUGGUAUUCCGAGGAGUACGCCUGUUCGAGUGUUAUGAAGCUCUCAAAACGCAAUUGGCUUAAAACCUGAUUGUUGUUUUGGAUUUGAACUUUGCCGUGUUAUAACGGCUGGUUUUAAAAGUAUUAGCUGGUACUAGAACGAAUUGGUUCUACUCAACGUGAUAAUUAUCUGAUCGUUGAGGACAUUCCUUUCACGAGGAAUGGCCAUAGUAAAUUCAAUGGACUGCUUCUAAUCUGGCUUUAAUUCUUUAUUGGAUUAACCACUUUUCAAAUCUGACCUCGAAUCAGGUGGGACUACCCGCUGAACUUAAGCAUAUCAAUAAGCGGAGGA